AUGCGUUGUUGGGUAGGGGAGCGUUCUGUAAGCCUGCGAAGGUGUGCUGUGAGGCAUGCUGGAGGUAUCAGAAGUGCGAAUGCUGACAUAAGUAACGAUAAAGCGGGUGAAAAGCCCGCUCGCCGGAAGACCAAGGGUUCCUGUCCAACGUUAAUCGGGGCAGGGUGAGUCGACCCCUAAGGCGAGGCCGAAAGGCGUAGUCGAUGGGAAACAGGUUAAUAUUCCUGUACUUGGUGUUACUGCGAAGGGGGGACGGAGAAGGCUAUGUUGGCCGGGCGACGGUUGUCCCGGUUUAAGCGUGUAGGCUGGUUUUCCAGGCAAAUCCGGAAAAUCAAGGCU
This 339-nucleotide ribosomal RNA is filed under the name Escherichia coli. Its description in RNAcentral is "partial 23S ribosomal RNA". It matches the Rfam family "Bacterial large subunit ribosomal RNA", at positions 1216 to 1557 of the family's 2925-position model. Lineage: Bacteria; Pseudomonadati; Pseudomonadota; Gammaproteobacteria; Enterobacterales; Enterobacteriaceae. The record is from RNAcentral.